CCAACUUCCUUGAAUCUCCUUCUAGAAUACACUUUAAGCUUCCCAGGACCAUUAGUUCCUACACUCUCCUACUGCCCGGUUGAAGAGGAAUGGCAUGGUCUGUUGGUCGUCGAGGUGGCAAAGUAGUCGGUUCUGCGAAUACAGACUCAUGUUCUUGUAAUAGAGUUUGCAAUUGGUCAUUUUGACUAGGCAAUAAUUCGGAUGCUCGUAAUUUGAUAACAAAACAAGAAGAUAUUUCCCAAACUAAUGCACAGUACUCCACUUCUUUUAGUCGACAUAGAGAAGAUAGGGAAAAAACAGCCUUAGUAACGGAAGGGUUACCUCACAAGGUUACAGGUGCCCCAGCAUGUUGGAAUGAUAUUGUCAUCUGAGUCAGAAUUAACCUUAACAUCGCCCAAUUUUACUAGCCAAGCCACAGCCAGAAUUAUGUCCAUGCCACCUAAGGGAGAGACGUAACAGUCCGCCCUGAUGGAGAAUUCUUCCAACUGCAAGAGAAGAUUAGAACACAGCCCUGAAGAUUCUUUCCUGUCAUAGUUGUUAAAGGCUCAAGGCACAUCGAGGCGCCAAGGGUCUUGGAGCCUAGGCACGAGGCGCAAAAUGAGUGCCUGAGGUGAGGCACAAAAAUUAAAAAA
This 632-nucleotide unclassified non-coding RNA is filed under the name Hevea brasiliensis (rubber tree). The record is from RNAcentral. Lineage: Eukaryota; Viridiplantae; Streptophyta; Magnoliopsida; Malpighiales; Euphorbiaceae.